AUGCUUGCUAUCUUUUUCUCACCAUCAUGGAUGCCCAGUGUCCCAUUUUUAAGCAAUCUUUGAGUCACGGGGUGGUGUAAGAGACUAUUCUUUUAUAUCAUUGACUCAAAGUUUGCUGAGGAACAAGUCCAGGCAAGUCCUGGGCAAAGGCAGAGAAAUCUUUUGUCUUGAGGACACUGAUGGACAGGUCCUGGCUAAGGAUUGUGAAAUCCUCUAAGGAGCACAGAUGGACAAGGCCAGGGGCAUCGAGAGAGAGAUAAGCUGCUGCUAAUGGCCGGGAAGCGGUCUUUUUGUGUGGACUUAUCUCAAGGAAAAUGGCCAUCUCAGGAGGUAUGCACAUGACUCUUGCUCAAGCACCCAGGGAUGUCACGUAGGCAGGAGAAAAUGGAGGAUAAAAGAGGGUCCAACAACCAC
Long non-coding RNA from Gallus gallus (chicken), 414 nucleotides. NCBI's taxonomy places the organism in Eukaryota, Metazoa, Chordata, Aves, Galliformes, Phasianidae. The record is from Ensembl.